This 489-nucleotide ribosomal RNA is filed under the name uncultured bacterium. Its description in RNAcentral is "partial 16S ribosomal RNA". It matches the Rfam family "Bacterial small subunit ribosomal RNA", at positions 28 to 507 of the family's 1533-position model. The record is from RNAcentral.
GAUGAACGCUAGCUACAGGCUUAACACAUGCAAGUCGAGGGGCAGCAUGAACUUAGCUUGCUAAGUUUGAUGGCGACCGGCGCACGGGUGAGUAACACGUAUCCAACCUGCCGAUGACUCGGGGAUAGCCUUUCGAAAGAAAGAUUAAUACCCGAUGGCAUAGUUCUUCCGCAUGGUAGAACUAUUAAAGAAUUUCGGUCAUCGAUGGGGAUGCGUUCCAUUAGGUUGUUGGCGGGGUAACGGCCCACCAAGCCUUCGAUGGAUAGGGGUUCUGAGAGGAAGGUCCCCCACAUUGGUACUGAGACACGGUCCAAACUCCUACGGGAGGCAGCAGUGAGGAAUAUUGGUCAAUGGACGAGAGUCUGAACCAGCCAAGUAGCGUGAAGGAUGACUGCCCUAUGGGUUGUAAACUUCUUUUAUACGGGAAUAAAGUGAGGCACGUGUGCCUUUUUGUAUGUACCGUAUGAAUAAGGAUCGGCUAACUCCGUG